GACGAACGCUGGCGGCGUGCUUAACACAUGCAAGUCGAACGGAAAGACCCUGCUUUUGUGGGGUGCUCGAGUGGCGAACGGGUGAGUAACACGUGAGUAACCUGCCCUUGACUUUGGGAUAACUUUAGGAAACUGGGGCUAAUACCGGAUAGGAGCUCCUGCUGCAUGGUGGGGGUUGGAAAGUUUCGGCGGUUGGGGAUGGACUCGCGGCUUAUCAGCUUGUUGGUGGGGUAGUGGCUUACCAAGGCUUUGACGGGUAGCCGGCCUGAGAGGGUGACCGGCCACAUUGGGACUGAGAUACGGCCCAGACUCCUACGGGAGGCAGCAGUGGGGAAUAUUGCACAAUGGGCGGAAGCCUGAUGCAGCAACGCCGCGUGCGGGAUGACGGCCUUCGGGUUGUAAACCGCUUUCGCCUGUGACGAAGCGUGAGUGACGGUAAUGGGUAAAGAAGCACCGGCUAACUACGUG
Molecule: ribosomal RNA, 468 nt
Filed under: uncultured bacterium
Lineage: Bacteria
Description: partial 16S ribosomal RNA
Rfam family: Bacterial small subunit ribosomal RNA
Source: RNAcentral